Long non-coding RNA from Triticum aestivum (bread wheat), 309 nucleotides. RefSeq lists it as uncharacterized. The record is from RefSeq and is a predicted model, not a curated record. The transcript is spliced from 3 exons. Lineage: Eukaryota; Viridiplantae; Streptophyta; Magnoliopsida; Poales; Poaceae.
GAGUUGGACACGAUUACGCCUGAGCAGGUGGAAUGGCAGCCAUAUGGCGCGGGUGAGAGCUUGGGGUACACCGCAGACUUCCGCCUCAACCCGAUGUGCUUGCGGGAUAAGGAUCUCUGGCUUAUGCGGUGCCCACUGAUAUGCAACUGGGCGGUUGAGUUUCAUUUGCCGCAUCGCGUGUAUCGUCAGUUUGGUCUUUUCCAGCCUCACCCGCCGGAUUGGGUGGACACGGAUAAAGCACUUCAUAGGUUGGAUAGGAGAAGGCAACGGAAGAUAAAGGACUGGGCCAAGCAUCAUUAUGCGUAUGUU